Molecule: ribosomal RNA, 395 nt
Filed under: uncultured bacterium
Lineage: Bacteria
Description: bacterial SSU rRNA
Rfam family: Bacterial small subunit ribosomal RNA
Source: RNAcentral
GUGCCAGCCGCCGCGGUAAAACGUAGGAGGCGAGCGUUGUCCGGAUUUACUGGGCGUAAAGAGCGCGUAGGCGGCUUCGCAAGUCAGGUGUGAAAUCUCCCGGCUUAACUGGGAGGGGUCAUUUGAUACUGUGGGGCUGGAGUGCAGUAGAGGGAGACGGAAUUCCGGGUGUAGUGGUGAAAUGCGUAGAUAUCCGGAGGAACACCAGUGGCGAAGGCGGUCUCCUGGGCUGUUACUGACGCUGAGGUGCGAAAGCGUGGGGAGCGAACUGAAUUAGAUACUCAGGUAGUCCACGCUGUAAACGAUGGACACUAGGUGUGGGGGGUAUCGACCCCCUCCGUGCCGUAGCUAACGCGAUAAGUGUCCCGCCUGGGGAGUACGGCCGCAAGGCUAAA